AUGGAGUCGGUCAGGCUCACAGCUGAGAUGGGGUCGGUCAGGCUCACGGCUGAGAUGGGGUCGGUCAGGCUCACAGCUGAGACGGGGUCGGUGGUCAGGCUCACGGCUGAGAUGGGGUCGGUCAGGCUCACAGCUGAGACGGGGUCGGUGGUCAGGCUCACGGCUGAGAUGGGGUCGGUCAGGCUCACAGCUGAGACGGGGUCGGUGGUCAGGCUCACGGCUGAGACGGGGCCGGUCGGGCUCACGGCUGAGACGGGGUCGGUGGUCAGGCUCACGGCUGAGACGGGGUCGGUCGGGCUCACAGCUGAGACGGGGUCGGUGGUCAGGCUCACGGCUGAGACGGGGUCGGUGGUCAGGCUCACGGCUGAGACGGGGUCGGUGGUCAGGCUCACAGCUGAGACGGGGCCGGUCAGGCUCACGGCUGAGAUGGGGUCGGUCAGGCUCACAGCUGAGACGGGGUCGGUGGUCAGGCUCACGGCUGAGACGGGGUCGGUGGUCAGGCUCACGGCUGAGACGGGGUCGGUGGUCAGGCUCACAGCUGAGACGGGGUCGGUGGUCAGGCUCACGGCUGAGAUGGGGUCGGUCAGGCUCACGGCUGAGACGGGGUCGGUGGUCAGGCUCACGGCUGAGACGGGGUCGGUGGUCAGGCUCACGGCUGAGACGGGGCCGGUCGGGCUCACAGCUGAGAUGGGGUCGGUGGUCAGGCUCACGGCUGAGACGGGGUCGGUGGUCAGGCUCACGGCUGAGACGGGGUCGGUGGUCAGGCUCACGGCUGAGACGGGGUCGGUGGUCAGGCUCACGGCUGAGACGGGGUCGGUGGUCAGGCUCACGGCUGAGACGGGGUCGGUGGUCAGGCUCACGGCUGAGACGGGGUCGGUGGUCAGGCUCACGGCUGAGACGGGGCCGGUCGGGCUCACGGCUGAGAUGGGGUCGGUGGUCAGGCUCACGGCUGAGACGGGGUCGGUGGUCAGGCUCACGGCUGAGACGGGGUCGGUGGUCAGGCUCACGGCUGAGAUGGGGUCGGUCAGGCUCACAGCUGAGACGGGGUCGGUGGUCAGGCUCACGGCUGAGACGGGGUCGGUGGUCAGGCUCACAGCUGAGACGGGGUCGGUGGUCAGGCUCACGGCUGAGAUGGGGUCGGUCAGGCUCACGGCUGAGACGGGGUCGGUGGUCAGGCUCACGGCUGAGACGGGGUCGGUGGUCAGGCUCACGGCUGAGACGGGGUCGGUGGUCAGGCUCACGGCUGAGACGGGGCCGGUCGGGCUCACGGCUGAGACGGGGCCGGUCAGGCUCACGGCUGAGACGGGGUCGGUGGUCAGGCUCACGGCUGAGACGGGGUCGGUCAGGCUCACGGCUGAGACGGGGCCGGUCGGGCUAGCACAAGUUAGGUUGUUACAUUCCCCUCUUGUGUUUUGGAAAGUCAAAGCAUUAUUGAUCUUCAGUUAUAACAAGAGGGUUUUAUUGGGCCUUGAGACACAAAUGUCUGACACACUACGUGCUGUUGUAGGAAAUUCAGGAACCAGUUGA
Molecule: long non-coding RNA, 1527 nt
Filed under: Callithrix jacchus (white-tufted-ear marmoset)
Lineage: Eukaryota; Metazoa; Chordata; Mammalia; Primates; Cebidae
Description: lncRNA (ENSCJAG00000081761.1)
Source: RNAcentral